UUGAACGCUGGCGGCAUGCCUUACACAUGCGAAGUCCGAACGGCAGCACGGGAGCAAUCCUGGUGGCGAGUGGCGAACGGGUGAGUAAUAUAUCGGAACGUGCCCAGUCGUGGGGGGAUAACGUAGCGAAAGCUACGCUAAUACCGCAUACGAUCUAUGGAUGAAANCGGGGGAUCGCAAGACCUCGCGCGAUUGGAGCGGCCGAUAUCAGAUUAGGUAGUUGGUGAGGUAAAGGCUCACCAAGCCGACGAUCUGUAGCUGGUCUGAGAGGACGACCAGCCACACUGGGACUGAGACACGGCCCAGACUCCUACGGGAGGCAGCAGUGGGGAAUUUUGGACAAUGGGCGCAAGCCUGAUCCAGCAAUGCCGCGUGCAGGAUGAAGGCCUUCGGGUUGUAAACUGCUUUUGUACGGAACGAAACGGUGAGCUCUAAUACAGUUUGCUAAUGACGGCACCGUAAGAAUAAGCACCGGCUAACUACGUG
Molecule: ribosomal RNA, 486 nt
Filed under: uncultured bacterium
Lineage: Bacteria
Description: bacterial SSU rRNA
Rfam family: Bacterial small subunit ribosomal RNA
Source: RNAcentral